Aptenodytes forsteri (emperor penguin) is the source of this 1794-nucleotide long non-coding RNA. RefSeq lists it as uncharacterized. The transcript has 3 exons. The record is from RefSeq and is a predicted model, not a curated record. Lineage: Eukaryota; Metazoa; Chordata; Aves; Sphenisciformes; Spheniscidae.
AAGCAGCCAAGAACUUGUUUUACGACAUUAAAGAAGUGCACCGAAAUUUAAAUUUGCAGUAAUUUGAGCCUUCUGCUACUAUGUGUCAGUCACAGCUGCCUGACUGGAGAUCCAGGUAGUCCUGAGCAGGAAAGAAUGGUGGGAGAAGCAAACCAACAGCAGAACCGAAGAGGCUGCUCAGGCCAGCCUCCUUCCCAAAAUGGGAAACAGUCUGUAGCUUCUGCAGUCUUACACAUACCGGUACCUUAAAUGAUGAACCUGAGACAGACCCCAUGACAUCACAAGCUAAUCUUGCUUUUGGAGAACUGCUGCGAAGAUCACAAAAAUACUAUCUUGCUGACUGCAGCGGGAAGCUUUGCUUGGUAUUCUGGUAGAGAACACAGAGACUGAAGAAGCGCCUUGUACUUCUCACCUCUAGUAAUGGAUUUUCCAAGUUAGUGUUAGAGCACUGUCAAUGACCCCUGAGGUUUUCAUACUAAGGAGAAACUGGAGUUACUGAGACAAUGGUUUCCCUAGUGCCUGUGUCAAGGAUCAAAGCCAUUAAUUUUUAAAGAAAAGUUUCUAUUAUUGAAAGUAUUUAAUUACAAUAUUAAACAACCCUAUUUCUAAAUAUACUUGUGGCCCUAUUUCUCCAAAAGAUUCUGUUCAGAACAAUGUCAAAAAGCACACAGUUAUUGUUUUCAUGCCGAGUUCACAAGAUUCAUAUCGAGAUCACUCAGACCCAAACUAUACACAUUUCUCUUACAGAAUAUAAUGACAUCUUUCAAAAGAGUUUCCAUUUUAUAAAUGGACUCUUUUUCUAAGAACUGUAACUUUAUUUUCACUUGCUUUUAGGAGUCUAAAGACUCAAACAGUGAUAACCGUUUAGAAAUCUACUGUUAUUUUCAACACAACUAAAUUCUUAUAUUUUACAGUCUUAUUGGACAUCUCUCUUAACUGAUGUAUAUUUUAAGUGUUGUUGGUAGAAAUUUGUAUUCGGUUUAGUAGCAUAAUUUUUUUUAUUUUCUCCUUUAACUUUUCAGAUGCUGGUAAUCCUUUGUGUAAUAACAGGUUAAUUGUUUGCCAGCUAUAUAUAUAUGGCAAGAUGCCCAGUAUCAGCUGAGCUGUGAAAACGAAAGUAUCAAAAUAUCCCCAUGUGUGAACUCUGCAAGAAACAAAUAUUACCCACCACUUAAAAAGAAAAAAAAACAAACAUAAACCAACAAAACCCAACACCCUUAGUGAGGAAAGCUUUGGUCUUCCGAAAUGAGUGUAAGGGAAAAAUCAUCAUAAGCAAAUUUUACCCUGUCAGAGAAUUCUCAUCUAAUUUAUUCUGUUUACAGAUUUGGUCUAAUAACGAUUAUAUCUCACACCUCUUCGUAAAAUAUUCUGAGAUUUACUGAUGAAAAGUGCUAAGGAAUAAAAUAAUAUUUAUCUACUGUACAGUUAUAGUAUCAUAAUUUUUAUAGUUUGUAUAGUUUUCUGUGAUAAUUUAUUAAUGUCUUGCUUAUGAUUACAGUUAAGACUGAAUUCAUUCUUUUGAACCUAUGAAUAAAAUGUAUAACUUUUUUAACUACUUGCUCAGAUCCUCCCAUAUCCAGUUAGUCUACCAUCACCCCCGUCAUAGCUCCCAGAGAGCAUGUACAACUGUUAAGAAAAUAUUUUUAUUUUCUGAAAAUGUACCAUCAGCAUAAUUUACAAAGAUUAAUCUACUAAUAUAGAUGUUUAACUACCUGUCAGUCAGUACAAGAUGGUUUGAUAUAACAUGACUUUCCAAAUAUAUUUCCUGUUUGUCUCUUCUGUUCCCCAGAAGGA